UCCUGGUCAGGUCACUUUCUGCGACGACCUUCAAGUCGGACCCGCAGCCCACCUCCAGGGCACAACUUCCGGGCUCGUCCACCUGGGACCCAGGCGCCACUGUGGGUCAAAGUUCGCGCCAUCGGAUAGGCCCCGCCCCACACGCCUCCGCCGCCGCUACUCGUCGCGCUUCCGCUUCCGCCUCUGCCUGCUGGGGGCCGUUCCCUGGGCUCGCCCCUCCAGCCGGGCUGUCAGCCCAGUGGGUGACCUCGCGUGGGACAGGUUCUGACUUCCUCACCUGGACACAGUCUCCGUAGGUGGGAGGCCUGCGGCUGCCACAUCAUGGCCGUGGGACCUGUGGACGCCCCCCACCCCCGCCAUGCCCGGUUUCCCAUAUGAAGCAGCCCAUCAGGGUGAUGAGACUACUGUACAGGCGGACAGGGGCCCUGGGAAGGGCCUGCCAGGUCCCCUUGCUGUGAGGGGACCGCCUCCGAGGGCCUCCUGGACAGCCAGCUGCGGCAAGGACUUUCUUGGCCUUACGUUGUGAGCUCACCCCCAGCCUCAGGUCGGGAAGUGGGCUCUUCCUUCAAGCAGGCACGGCUCCUGGGUAGCACUGCCCAGUGGUGGCCCCCGUGCAGACAGGGAUGUGGUAGAAAACAGACUCUCCCAGGGUGUUGGGACUAAGCACCUAAGAGAAACGACACCAAAAGAAAGCCAAGGACCCUCGCUUCCCAGGCUCCCCAUGGGGUUGGCCUUGGAGUCCCCGGAGCUGCUGCUGUGCCCUGAUGGGCCCCCCAGUUCCCCAAGCAGCCUUCCUGCUGAAGUGCUGAGGAGUUUGCUGUCACCCUGACCUUCCAUUAGUGUUCCCCAUACAAUCCCAUAACUAAGGUAACCUGCAAAGAUAACUGAGUUCCCUGUAGUUUGAAGUGGCCAAAGGAUGCAAAGAGCAGCACAUGGUAUGGAUCAAAUAGAUAGUAGCCGAUUCUAUUAGGUAAAGAAAAUGUCAACUUAAGAGAAUGACUACUGGAGACAUUAGGGUGCCCUCUCUCAUCCACUCUUCCUCUUCUACAGUAGCACCCCCUAGUGUUUGGCUGCAGUUGGUUCAAAGGUAACAGAUGCCAUAAGGUGUACAGUCAGUGAGGUUGGGGACUUCUGUUUAGUUAAAGAUAACAUUUCUUUCAUUUGAUGUGAUUAAACAAACACAGAAGCUCGGAUUGCUGCUGUCAGAAUUUGCCACUACAGUAGAAGGCAGGCUGAGAACAAAUUGCUAAGAGGCAAAAGGAAGGACCAAGACCACCACGGAGGAGUCCAGGUCCACUGACGAUCAGUGAGUCUAAUUCAUUUUGAGCUGAAGAUUCCCCAUGACGCAAAUAUCUUUUAUUCCCUGAAUCCUUGAGUCAAGUAUGACUUUGUACUGAGGAAGAAGAUCUUCCCAAGUAAGAAGAACAAUGAGUGGAUCCAGCCCAAACCUCCCCCUCAUGAUGCAACAGAGGCUCAAAAUCACCACAGGAACCUUAAAAGAACAUUUUGCAGCUCUCCGACUGGGUAGUACUGAAGCAUCACAUGAUCGUUGGCAUUUAUUUCUUUAAAUAUGUGCUCCAAAAUUUUGCAGUUACCCAUCUAUAAUUUGCCAGUAGAUCCUUGUUAUUUAUACCACUUAGUAAGACAUUUAUUAUUAUAGCAAAACUUUAUUGUUUAGUUUUAGCAUUUAAAAUAUAAAUGUUUUCCUUUGUAAUCUGUAAUAAUUUUAGCAGCAAUUUCUAGAGGAAACAAACAAAAAGGAAGAAAUGUUUCAUUUGAUCAACUAGAAAUUUUAUUAGGGUUAUGGCAGAUUAUAUAUCUGAGUAAAUUUUCCAGUGGGAGUAAUUAAAUACUGGAUUUCAUGGAACACAUACACAAACCCAUCCACCUACACCCCAUGCACUUAGAUUGAAUGAUUGAAUAGAUUCAAUGUCUAUGCUGAAAUGUUUGGGAGAAGGGUUUCAAAUUCUCAGAUUUUGAAAUGUUUUCAAUUACAUAAGUUACCUUGGGAAUGAAACUCAAUUCUAAACAAGAAAUGCAUGAGUACUUUACACACACCUUUACACAUAUCCUGAAGUUAGUAUUAUAUGCAAUAUAUUUAGUGCACCUGUAUUCUGACUGUGACCAUACUUGGAGGUCAGAUGUGUAAUUUUCUACUUGUAGCAUCACAAUGGGUCUCCAAUGUUUUGAUUUUGGAAUAUUGCAGAUUUUUAUUUUUUAGAUAAGGAAUGAUAUAUACCAUACAUAUGUCUUUUUAUUUAUACAUGUAAUGAUAAUGAAUGUCAUGCGUUUAGGAAUCUGUAGACUGUAGAAAAUGAAUAAAUGCCUACUGUUGCCUGGACUUGUCUGCAGAAUCCUAUAGAGUCUGAGCAUCUAAAAACCUAGUCAUUGAAGGAUUUUUAUGGCAUGGAACAAAUUUAAAGGGGUAUUAAAGAAUAGAACUAUUUUUUUUUUCUGACUCAUGGAGCAGGACUCACAGUUGUUCAAGAUUUUAUGGGUUACUAAUCUUUGAUAAUUCUGUUAUUUGUUAAUAUAUUUAAUGCAGUUAAUUGUAGUUGAAAACUACCCAUUUGAAAUAUAUUAAUUAGCAUUGUUUCUGUAAAUAUAAACUGACUGUAAAUAUAAACCAUUUUUGAUAACUACAAGGAAGACAAGAUUUUCAAAUUUUCAAACUUGAAAUUGGGCAUUGUCCUUGAAACUGUUAGUCCCUGAGUUUGAAUGAAGGAGUUAGAAAAUUUUCAAUUUUCCACAGUAUAUAAAAAAUUACACACUUAAAAUAAUGUAUAUUUGCUUAAACUAUCUACAAAUUGGAAUUUUGUAAGCAGUCAUUCAAUUUUUUUAAUUGAUAGACUACAUGUUUAUGAAAACUAGAAAGUGUUUUCAUGGGAUAAAAUAGUAUCAGUUAAUUUAUAAUGUCUAUAUUCUUGUUUGAUAUCUUGCUCCAUUUCAGUGUUACCAAGCUUAAAUUCAAAAUAUCAAUGAAACAAACACACUGUCUAUAGAACAAACCCUGUUAAAGAUUUCUUUAAUAUUUCUUAUUUGUGAUAUGUUCUCUUAUUUUAAUCACCAUUAAAGAAUAAUUAGUUAUGCAUUUUUACCAUUAUGUAAUAAAAAUUAAAUGCACAAUACCAGGAAAAUGUGUUUACAAAUUAAGCAUUUGCAUAUAUCAGUAUAGUUAGCAUAAUGAAAAGACAGGUCUUUUCUAAAUGGCUUCAUUUUCAUUAGCAGGCAUUAUUAGUGUGUAUAGAAGUAUUAUAUGCAUAUUUGUCCAUCUUCAUCUUUAUGCUUUAAAAGUUCAUGAUAUUAAGACAUUUGUAGCAUAAUAAAUAAUGUACAACUUA
Marmota monax (woodchuck) is the source of this 3341-nucleotide long non-coding RNA. RefSeq lists it as uncharacterized. The record is from RefSeq and is a predicted model, not a curated record. The transcript is spliced from 2 exons. Lineage: Eukaryota; Metazoa; Chordata; Mammalia; Rodentia; Sciuridae.